GCUCUCGGGCUCAGGCUGGGGGGUGGGGACUUCCUUUCCCCUAAGGUGGCGUUGCCAGGUCCCCCAAAUAAAAAUACAGGACGCCCAGUUAGGUUGGAAUUUCAGAUAAACAGUGGAUGACUGUUCAGUGUAAGUAUAGCCCAUGCAAUAUUUGGGAGAUACUUACACUAAAAUUUUGCAUCGUUUAUCUGAAAUUCCAGUGUAACUGGGCUCCUGUAUUUCAAACGACAACCCUAGCUUGAGGUCAGAAGAACUGGGCCCUGUCUCAGGACAGUCCUCCGAGCCACCAACUGUGAUCUAGGACACCUGAGCAUCUUCAUCAUCAUCCAGUCACUGUCAUCAUCGAUCACUAGGAAUCAUAGCUCACCUAAUCUGCACAUCAGCGUCAGGAGAUGGUGCUGUCAUUAGCCGCAUUUGUCAGAAGGGGAAACUGAUGAUGCUCAGAGACUUGGAGCAGUUUGUACAAGGAGGAGUUGCACCUACUGAAUCCAAAUCUCCAGGAGAAGGGUCUGUUUUUAACUCCUUAAGGAGUUCUUUUGAUCCGUCAAGUUUGGGAAAUUCUCAACUAGCUGCCUACAUCCAGGAGACUGCUUCCAAUCUUGGACAAGAGUUCUAAUAGCAAAUGAUACGCUCCUGAAGACUUCCCAGCAUGGCAGGGCACUCGGGGUUUCUUAUGCAUGGAGGCAGGGCUUCCUGACGUGUGGAACCCGGAAUGAAGAAUGUGAGUUCGAACACCAUCCCCAGGGAAAUCUCACGCUGGCAGAGGUCCUCCCACGUACCCUAUUUCUUCAGAUCGAGCUGACCAUUACGGUAACUGCUAGCCACACGCGACUACUUCCAUUAAUCAAAAUUAAAUAACAUUUCCAUGACAGUUCUUCAGGUACACAAGACAUAUUUCAAGUGCUCCGUAGCUACAUGCGGCUAGGAUGACCUGAGUUAGAGGAAAAAGAUCCAGGACAUUCCAGUUCAAUCUGAAUAUACGAUAAAGUAUGGCCCAGCAUACUUACAAGAAAAAAAGUCAUAUGUUGUUUAUCUGAAUUCACAUCUAACUGGGCAUCAUAUCUGAUUAGGGCUACCAUGCUGGAGAGCACAGAUGUGGAGCGUUCCCAUCAUUGUAGAAAUUUCUAAUGGACAGCUCUGCUUUAGAACCUUCAUGAGCAACUCAAAGCUAAUGAACCCUACCCCAUUCCUGGUGUUUUUCUGUCCACCGGCACAUGAUGGGCAUGCAGAUCAUGAAUAGCCAGAAGUGUCCAGAACUACUAUGAUAAAGUUCUUGGCCUCUGAAGCAGUUAAUACUAAUUACUCCAGUUUUUUUUUUCAUCCAAACACUUGAAUUUAAUUUCCUCAUUUAAGCUUUUGUUCCUCCAUUUUCUUUUCUUUUUUUUUUUCAUCUCCCCUACAUUGCUUAACACCCCUUAUAAAUAAUAUUCUGGCAAUAAAUAAUCUUCUGUAAAUAAUCUUGUAGGGGCUUACUCUUCCUUUCCAAUCUUAAUUUUAUUCAACUAUAUCAUGAACUCAGCCUCCUGAACUAUUUAAAUAUUUUACAAUUACUCGGUGCCAUGAAAAACCCUAUUUUCCCUUUCUCAACAAGUAUUAGUGUUUGCCUGGGUGGCUCAGUGGGUUAAGUGUCUGCCUUCGGCUCACGUCAUGAUCCAAGGUCCUGGGAUCGAGUCCUGCAUUGGGCUCCGUGCUCUGCAGGGACUCUGCUUUUCCCUCUACCCCUCCUCCCACUCAUUAUCUCAAUUUCUCUCUCUCUCAAAUAGAUAAAUAAAAUCUAAAAAAAAAAAAAAAAAAAAGAAUUAGUGUUCUCCUGAAAACUCCAAUCCUCAUGACUCAAUGAUAUAUUGAGUGUAUGAUCUGAUCUCCUUAAAGUGUUGGGGGAUGUCAUCAAAACAUCGUGACUGCCAGUUGACCCAUGAACUAGACCCGGGCUCUUGGAGCUCCUCACCUGCUCCCCUGUCCUUAGAAUGUGGGUUCUGCUUGCCUUUCCUGCUGAGUGGGGAGUCUGCUUCUCCCUCCCCAUCUGCCUGCUGCUCCCCCCUGCUUGUGCUCUCUCUCUCUGUCAAAUAAAUAAAAUCUUAAAAAAAAAAAAAAAAGAAAUAGGGUCUUUGCAGAUGCAAUCAAGUUAAGGUGAGAUCCCACUGGAGUAGGACAAGCUUGGUCUGAGGACUGGUGUCUUUAUAAGAAGAGGAGAGGAUGCCCAUAGACCCCCAGAGAAGAAGGCCAUGUGAUGAGAGAUGCAGACAUUGGAGUGACACAUCAACAAGCCAAGGAACACCAAGGAUUGUAGCCAACCACCUGCAGCUUGAAGAACAGCAAGGAAGGAUUCUCCCCUAGAGCCUUCUGAGGGAGCACAGUCCUGCUGACACCUUGAUUUUGGACUUCUAGACUCCAGAGCUGAGAGAGAUUCUAUUUCUGUAGUUGUCAUUGUUUAAGAUUUUAUUUAUUUUAGAGAUAGAGACAGAGCAUGAGCAGGGCAGGGAGCAAAGGGAGAAGGACAAGCAGACUCCCUGCUGAGGGCAGAGCCGGAUGCAGGGCUCGAGCCCCG
Molecule: long non-coding RNA, 2548 nt
Organism: Mirounga angustirostris (Northern elephant seal)
Lineage: Eukaryota; Metazoa; Chordata; Mammalia; Carnivora; Phocidae
Exons: 3
Source: RefSeq, a predicted model, not a curated record